Molecule: RNA transcript, 1879 nt
Organism: Magnolia sinica
Lineage: Eukaryota; Viridiplantae; Streptophyta; Magnoliopsida; Magnoliales; Magnoliaceae
Exons: 5
Source: RefSeq, a predicted model, not a curated record
UUUUCGCAUUAUGCAGAUGAUUUGCCUUGCUUUCUCAAGACCAUAAAAAAUAGAUGGCAGAUGUUUCAAUCCAAAUUUCAGGCUGGAGAUAUUUAUUUAGCUAUCUAAUGGUGCUCAGGUCCUAUCCUCUGUUUGAACAGUUAAGUCAGAGGACUUGGUGUUGCUUUUCCAAUCGAUGCUCAUGCUUGGAAUUAGCAUUGGACUUACUUUCAAUGUGGUUUUGCUUUCAACUGAUAAAAGAUCAAGACUACUGGAUAGGUUAGGUUGUUCACACCGUCGACCUUUAUGGGCAUGGUGCAUUAACGUGGGAAAGCGAUUCAACAUGGCUUUGGGAAUCACCCAGGGGCUUCUUUAUCUUCACCAAGAUUCUAUAUUUCUUUUCACAUAAAUUUCCAAUGAAAUGUUUCAGCUUAAGAUCAUAGUUAAAUUUUUACCAGUGCAGCUACCAAUAUUUAUGGAUUCUACAGUUUGUAUAUGAAUAUCCAUAUUAGCCUUUGUGGAAAAAUUUGCAUGUAGGUCUUUAUGCUUAUAAUCAUUCCAUUGAACGGCCCAUUCAUAAAUUUGUCCCUGUAUCUUCUAUUUUAACUGCCUGAUUUAGCAUGUAUAACUAUUGACAUGACCAUGAUAAGGCUGAUAAUUGAUUUUUGGUAAUUGUAAUGAUGGUAAUCAAUAGAUCAAUGGUACAUAUUACUGGGCUAUGGGCCCCACUUGUCAUUGUUGAAUACCUGUGUAUACUGUUAAGAGACACCCAUUACGUAUGUAGGGAGUUAUUUGAUACUCUGGCAGCGUAUGACUCUUUUACUAAAAGUACGUCUCUAAUCAUUCCAUCAAAAUUAUGUUCCGCUCAUGCAUUUACUAAAAGUAAAUGAGGCUAAUCUUUUCAAAUGAAUUCUUUUUUAUCUCGUGACAAUAGACGUGGGUCCACAAGUACCAAGCAUCUUUUAAAAGGUAGGCUUUGGAUAAUUAAGGCAGCAAAAAAUGGUUCAUGCUUUCUUGAAGUAUGGAUGUUCGGGCAGUCCCAAACAUAGACACCUGCUGAAGAUGUUAAACCAAUGUACCUACAAUAUGCGAAGCUGGAAGAAGAUUAUGGGCUUGCAAAGAGUGCAAUGAAAGUCUAUGAGCAAGCUAUGAAGGCUGUCCCUGAAAAUGAAAAAAUGAACAUGUAUGAAAUUUACAUAGCUCGUUCAACUGAAAUUUUUGGUGUCCCAAGUACGAGGGAAAUAUACGAGGUGUAUUUGGGUGGACAAUACAUAAACAAUCCUACACUGUCAGAUGUUACGUUUCUAGUUGAAGGUUGUAAAUCAUUCUUGACUGAAUCAAUUUGGUAGUCUAUAUGCUCUCAUUCUUUGGGGCUUUAGAUAGAAAUGUUGGAAUUAUAAUUUUCCUACUAGAAAGUCCCAAAAUUUAUAUGGUGAAAAAAGGGCAUUCUCCGUGCAAUGUUUGACGGUGGUUAUUAGGUGAGUCUAGCCAUAUUUUCAUAUUCAACACAUGGUACACCAGUACAUUGUCAUACAUCUUCACGCAAGGUGAUUUGCAGGCUUUCUAGUCAAUAGCAUCUCCACCUACAAAGCCAUGGCAUGGUUUCUUGGAAACAAUAGCAUGUCCGAUACACUGCCAUCCCAAAAAAGCCAUAAACUUCUUAAUGUGUUUUAGGCAUGGAUGAAUGGGAGCUAGAUCGAUGGAUUUUAUUUAUUUAUUUAUUUAUUUUUUGAAACUAUUCAAUUUAUUAUUGUAAAUAUUAUUUGCGGCAGCUCUAGUAGAAUAGAGAAGGGAAAUGGCUACAACAUCGAACAAAGAAGCCUCCAUCUACUUGCUUAUAAGUUGCUUUGUAAGCCAUAGCCCAUCCUACCAAUGAAACAACCAUUUUUUUUGGCUUGCA